CUGAUAUUUGUUUAGUUGGAUGUGUCUGAUUAAAACAGUAUCAACGAUUACUUUGACUAAAUCAGAGUGAUCAAGACAGGUUCGUUUCGUACGACCUUGAAUGCUCUAGCAUGGAAUAAUAGAAGAGGACUCGUUUGGGUCUGGUGAAGUGUUUAUGUUCACGCAUACUAUGGUCUCCAGUACCUCGAGUAAUGAUUAAAAGGGAUUGACGGGGGCAGUCGUAUUGCUGGGCUAGCGGUGAAAUGCAAUGACCCUGGUAAGACGUCCUAAAGCGAAAGCAUCUGCCUAGGAUGUUUUCAUUGAUCAAGAGCGAAAGUUAGAGGUGCGAAGGCGAUUAGAUACCGCCCUAGUUCUAACCAUAAACGAUGCCAACCAGCAAUCAGUCUGAGAAUUCAAGCAAUUUAAAAAUCUUCAACGAUCUUGAAUUAGACUGGUUCUCCCGGAGAAAUCAGAGUGAUUAGGCUCCGGGGGAAGUAUGGUUGCAAGGCUGAAACUUAAAGGAAUUGACGGAGGGGCACCACAAGGAGUGGAGCUUGCGGCUUAAUUUGACUCAACACGGGAAAACUUACCAGGAUAAUACACUAUGACGAUUGUCAGGCUAGAGACCUUUCUUGAUUUAGUGAAUAGUGGUGCAUGGCCGUUAUUAGUUCGUGGGGUGAUUUGUCAGGUUGAUUCCGACAAACGAACAAGACUCUAGCCUGCUAAUUAAAGGUAUAGACUUUUCAGUUUCUUGUAGACUGUCUAAGUUUAUGCAACCU
RNAcentral lists this ribosomal RNA (758 nucleotides) under uncultured eukaryote. Its description in RNAcentral is "bacterial SSU rRNA". It matches the Rfam family "Eukaryotic small subunit ribosomal RNA", at positions 705 to 1407 of the family's 1831-position model. The record is from RNAcentral.